Molecule: ribosomal RNA, 467 nt
Filed under: uncultured bacterium
Lineage: Bacteria
Description: partial 16S ribosomal RNA
Rfam family: Bacterial small subunit ribosomal RNA
Source: RNAcentral
GAUGAACGCUGACAGAAUGCUUAACACAUGCAAGUCAACUUGAAUUUGGGUUUUUAACUUAGGUUUGGGUGGCGGACGGGUGAGUAACGCGUAAAGAACUUGCCUCACGGCUAGGGACAACAUUUGGAAACGAAUGCUAAUACCUAAUAUUAUGAUAAUAGGGCAUCCUAUAAUUAUGAAAGCUAUAAGCGCUGUGAGAGAGCUUUGCGUCCCAUUAGCUAGUUGGAGAGGUAACGGCUCACCAAGGCGAUGAUGGGUAGCCGGCCUGAGAGGGUGAUCGGCCACAAGGGGACUGAGACACGGCCCUUACUCCUACGGGAGGCAACAGUGGGGAAUAUUGGACAAUGGACCGAGAGUCUGAUCCAGCAAUUCUGUGUGCACGAUGAAGUUUUUCGGAAUGUAAAGUGCUUUCAGUUGGGAAGAAACAAAUGACGGUACCAACAGAAGAAGUGACGGCUAAAUACGUG